ACUCAACACUAAUCUGUUAUGAAGGAUGAGUCGUAGUUGUUAAAGCAAGCCAUUUUAGAUGGAUCCUUGAUCAGCUAGUUAGUCCUAUAAAUGUCAUAAUGGAGUUU
Molecule: small RNA, 107 nt
Filed under: Asprobacillus argus
Lineage: Bacteria; Pseudomonadati; Bacteroidota; Flavobacteriia; Flavobacteriales; Flavobacteriaceae
Description: 6S RNA
Rfam family: 6S-Flavo RNA
Source: RNAcentral